UACGGGGGGAGCAAGCGUUGUUCGGAUUUACUGGGCGUAAAGGGCGCGUAGGCGGCCACCGCAAGUCGACUGUGAAAUCUCCGGGCUUAACCCGGAAAGGUCAGCCGAUACUGCGGGGCUAGAGUGCAGAAGGGGCAACUGGAAUUCUCGGUGUAGCGGUGAAAUGCGUAGAUAUCGAGAGGAACACCUGCGGCGAAAGCGGCUCCUGGUCCAGCACCGACGUUUCAGGCACGAAAGCGUGGGGAGCAAACAGG
Molecule: ribosomal RNA, 254 nt
Filed under: uncultured bacterium
Lineage: Bacteria
Description: partial 16S ribosomal RNA
Rfam family: Bacterial small subunit ribosomal RNA
Source: RNAcentral